This 368-nucleotide ribosomal RNA is filed under the name Aeromonas salmonicida. RNAcentral describes it as "bacterial LSU rRNA". It matches the Rfam family "Bacterial large subunit ribosomal RNA", at positions 2584 to 2925 of the family's 2925-position model. The record is from RNAcentral. Lineage: Bacteria; Pseudomonadati; Pseudomonadota; Gammaproteobacteria; Aeromonadales; Aeromonadaceae.
CCAUUUAAAGUGGUACGCGAGCUGGGUUCAGAACGUCGUGAGACAGUUCGGUCCCUAUCUGCCGUGGGCGUUGGAUGAUUGAAGGGAGUUGCUCCUAGUACGAGAGGACCGGAGUGAACGAACCUCUGGUGUUCGGGUUGUCACGCCAGUGGCACUGCCCGGUAGCUAAGUUCGGAAUCGAUAACCGCUGAAAGCAUCUAAGCGGGAAGCGAGCCCUGAGAUGAGUCAUCCCUGACCCCUUGAGGGUCCUAAAGGGCCGUUGGAGACCACAACGUUGAUAGGUGGGGUGUGUAAGCGCGGCGACGUGUUGAGCUAACCCAUACUAAUUACCCGUGAGGCUUAACCAUACAACACCCAAGAAGUGUUCU